This 68-nucleotide transfer RNA is filed under the name Graphium doson. Its description in RNAcentral is "tRNA-Glu". Lineage: Eukaryota; Metazoa; Arthropoda; Insecta; Lepidoptera; Papilionidae. The record is from RNAcentral.
UAUUUAUAUAGUUUAUAUAAAACACUACAUUUUCAUUGUAGAAAAAAAAAUAUAUUUUUUAUAAAUAU